RNAcentral lists this ribosomal RNA (497 nucleotides) under uncultured bacterium. RNAcentral's name for it is "partial 16S ribosomal RNA". It matches the Rfam family "Bacterial small subunit ribosomal RNA", at positions 28 to 507 of the family's 1533-position model. The record is from RNAcentral.
GACGAACGCUGGCGGCGUGCCUAAUACAUGCAAGUUGAGCGCUGAAGGUUGGUACUUGUACCAACUGGAUGAGCAGCGAACGGGUGAGUAACGCGUGGGGAAUCUGCCUUUGAGCAGGGGACAACAUUUGGAAACGAAUGCUAAUACCGCAUAAAAACUUUAAACACAAGUUUUAAGUUUGAAAGAUGCAAUUGCAUCACUCAAAGAUGAUCCCGCGUUGUAUUAGCUAGUUGGUGAGGUAAAGGCUCACCAAGGCGAUGAUACAUAGCCGACCUGAGAGGGUGAUCGGCCACAUUGGGACUGAGACACGGCCCAAACUCCUACGGGAGGCAGCAGUAGGGAAUCUUCGGCAAUGGACGAAAGUCUGACCGAGCAACGCCGCGUGAGUGAAGAAGGUUUUCGGAUCGUAAAACUCUGUUGGUAGAGAAGAACGUUGGUGAGAGUGGAAAGCUCACCAAGUGACGGUAACUACUCAGAAAGGGACGGCUAACUACGUG